Molecule: unclassified non-coding RNA, 360 nt
Filed under: Hevea brasiliensis (rubber tree)
Lineage: Eukaryota; Viridiplantae; Streptophyta; Magnoliopsida; Malpighiales; Euphorbiaceae
Source: RNAcentral
ACCCAAAAGACACUUCAUCAUUCUUCCUCACACUAAAGUUCCAAAGUCCAGAUCUUAUUAAGAUGAUAUGAGUUUAUAGCUUGUUAGCACGUCGAAAUAUUCUCAGUUUACUAUUCAAUAUUCACCUAUUCAUGAUGAAAGCUAAGUGGAAGAAGAAGCUUACGAGGAGGCUCAAGAGUAAACGCCAAAAGAUAAGAAGAGAUCGAAGUAGAACCUUGUUCCGAAAUUCUCAACGGUCUAGCUAUGCUUAUGGUCUUCGUUAGGAUUCUGCGGUUUAAGUUUUGUUUGAAACUUCAAUAAUAUUUGAGUUGUGAUUUUGUUCUAAUCGUACAUUAUUCAAAUUUCGGUAUUCGAUUUUGG